GUCUACGGCCAUACCACCCUGAACACGCUUGAUCUCCUCUGAUCUCAGAAGCUAAGUAGGGUCGGGCCUGGUUAGUACUUGGAUGGGAGAAACCAGGGCAGGAAGUG
RNAcentral lists this ribosomal RNA (107 nucleotides) under Neogale vison (American mink). The record is from RNAcentral. Lineage: Eukaryota; Metazoa; Chordata; Mammalia; Carnivora; Mustelidae.